RNAcentral lists this long non-coding RNA (2484 nucleotides) under Helianthus annuus (common sunflower). Its description in RNAcentral is "hypothetical non coding rna". The record is from RNAcentral. Lineage: Eukaryota; Viridiplantae; Streptophyta; Magnoliopsida; Asterales; Asteraceae.
GCUUAGGGAAGAUGUGUGGUCCAGAUUGCUUCUCAAGUUUCUCAAAUAGGGUGGACUUCUCUUAGGAUCCCUACCCUAUAUUCAUAUAUAUAAAACAAUGUAUAUAACUAGAAUAAUUAAAUAACAAAUGAGCGGAGUCCGAGCUUGAAAAACAACUCACGAUCCUAGAUUGAGCUUUAGACAUAGAGCUCGAUAGGAGCCCAACUCGUGCUCGAUUAGUUUACACCCCUACCUCCACCCAGUAUCAUUCACUCAUUCAGUAACGUGGAAAAUCAACAAACAACACAUUUGAAUGCCGAACAGAGUUUACCUUGCUAAUUUUUGUAAUUGUGGUGCCAGGAGGUAUCUCCUUGGAUAACAGAUUUUUGGCAAUGUCUUCCGGAAGAUCAAAAACCGCACCUUGAACCUGAUAACACAUAACAUAUAUACACGUCAUCGAAAGCAAAGUCUUGUGAAACAUUGAUAAACCAUUAGGUGUAUACCUUUUUGUCUGCUAUAACAUGUAUUUUUCCAAGUACACCAGCAGCAGUAGCAUAAACACUGGACAAGAAUCCCGUGACUGUUCUAGCCGACAUGUACCCUUUUAUUGAUGAAUCAGAAUCCCGUGUCAUUUGUAACGUUGUCCAUCCCUAUUAUGCAACAUAUACAACUGCCCAUUAGGCAAAAGUGUUUUGUGUCAACAAACCCAACCUCACAUGUUUUGACCCAUACAAAAAAUGACCCGCCCGGCAUCUUAUCCGACCCACCCAUGUUGCUGCCGCUUGGCAUCUCAAACAAGUGGUUAUGAAAAUAUACCUGCUCGUGUGUGAUAAGAGAACGGGAGGAUGGAGGUUGGGAGAAACCGCUCAUGUGUGCAAGGGCAGCAGCAAGAGCCCGUGUACCCUGUUGAUCGUAUAGCUUUUGUGCAGUUGGGGUGAAGAAGUCUAUGGACUCAUCAUGAACGCCAGAAAGGGUAGCAAUCACUUGCUCUGCUGAUGAACCCAAUACAUCGUCAACACCUGGAGGGCUUAUGAAUUCAAAUUUGCAUCCCACAUCUUGCUCGAGAGUUUUGACUGUUCUCCUUUGACUAUUUGUGUACAUCAAAAUGGCCUUGCCUUUCUUUCCUGCACGCCCGGUUCUUCCAGAACGAUGCACAAAAGUCUCCGGAUCAUUCGGUAGUUCAUAGUGGAUAACCUGGAAAGCAGUUUAUCAGGUCAGAGGAUAUCAAAUAUAAGUAAAUAACAUCAUUACAUCAAAGAGAAGGAACAUACUAAGUCAACAUUUGGUAUAUCGAGCCCACGAGAAGCAACGUCGGUGGCAACAAGCACGGUAAAUUUUCCUUGUCUGAAUCCAUUAAGUGUUCUUUCCCUUUGAUGUUGAGAUAUGUCACCAUGUAAUGCCUCUGAAGCUAUACUACUAGUCAAUGCCAUGGAGACUUCAUCUGCAUCCCUUUUUGUUUGAGUGAAUAUAAUGGUCUUCCCACCCUUUGCGUAUACCUAAAACCAUUUCAAACCAUAAGACUUUCCAUCAAUCAGAAUCAGGGGUGUUCACGGUUCAGUUCGGCCGGUUCUGACGAAUGUUUUGGGACAAAUCACCAUGGUUUCAAUAAAAACAACAAAUAAAACCAGGCGGGUCCGACAGACCCGCCGGUUAGGAAUCGAUAUUUUUUAUUUUCAAAUUCGUUAGUAUGUAUUAAAAAAAAAUAGAGUAAAUUGCGGUUUUGGUCCCUGUGGUUUAUAGCCCAUUGCAAUAUUUUACAAAAUCCAAAUGCCUUGCAGCUUACAUGCCAAGGUUUCAAUUUUAUUGCAAUUUUACUCCACAAGACUAACUCCAUCCAUCUUUAGUUUAAUCCUAGUGACAUGAAAAGCAUGUAAUGGGCAAACUUCUCUUGAAGUAAAUUGGUGCAUAAUAAAACAACGUUGCAUGCUCCUUUUACAAAAACAUGGCAUACUUCUCUUGCUUGUAAGAUGAUUCAUGGUUUUAAUCUUUAGAUUUUAAAUUUUCUAUUUUCUUUUUUUUUCUCAACCGCAAGUCAACAUACAUGUUGUGACUUUCUAAACAGAACUCAUAACACUUACGUAUAUAUACUUACAUAUGUGUAUUAAUAUAAUAUUACAUAUAUUUAUAAUAUAACCUUUAAGCUAAUCGCAUAUACACAUACAUGUCUACACAUUAGUGAUAAUUGGUGAUUAAUUUAUUUAGUUAUUUAUUUUAGUUUGAUCGGUUACUCAUCUAAACAUAUACGUUAAUACCUUACACCUCAAACGACUAUUUUACUUGUUAUUGUUAUUAUUUAGUUUUUCUUAUAUGUAUACAACUUCAGGUAGAGGAUCCUGUAAAAAGUGCUCAAAGUGUGAGAAGUGGAGGUGAAAGUGUGGUGGGUCUUGUGGGCAGUUGGUAGAGGGAGGAGACGCCUAUGAUUGAAGCCAUGACGGUGGUGAAUGUGGUGGCGGAACGGCGGGGGUUGGAAGAAGGCUGGAAAGAUAAGGAAGGGUGAGAGGGUAC